RNAcentral lists this ribosomal RNA (433 nucleotides) under uncultured bacterium. RNAcentral's name for it is "partial 16S ribosomal RNA". It matches the Rfam family "Bacterial small subunit ribosomal RNA", at positions 29 to 507 of the family's 1533-position model. The record is from RNAcentral.
AGCGAACGCUGGCGGCAGGCCUAACACAUGCAAGUCGAACGAACUCUUCGGAGUUAGUGGCGGACGGGUGAGUAACACGUGGGAACGUGCCUUUAGGUUCGGAAUAACUCAGGGAAACUUGUGCUAAUACCGAAUGUGCCCUUCGGGGGAAAGAUUUAUCGCCUUUAGAGCGGCCCGCGUCUGAUUAGCUAGUUGGUGAGGUAAAGGCUCACCAAGGCGACGAUCAGUAGCUGGUCUGAGAGGAUGAUCAGCCACAUUGGGACUGAGACACGGCCCAAACUCCUACGGGAGGCAGCAGUGGGGAAUCUUGCGCAAUGGGCGAAAGCCUGACGCAGCCAUGCCGCGUGAAUGAUGAAGGUCUUAGGAUUGUAAAAUUCUUUCACCGGGGACGAUAAUGACGGUAUCCGGAGAAGAAGCCCCGGCUAACUUCGUG